Non-coding RNA from Cyanistes caeruleus (blue tit), 484 nucleotides. The record is from RefSeq and is a predicted model, not a curated record. NCBI's taxonomy places the organism in Eukaryota, Metazoa, Chordata, Aves, Passeriformes, Paridae.
GGCGGCCCCCACGGCGCAGCAGCAGGAAUCCAUCCGGAGCCUGCCGGGCACGGGCUGCGCACAUUCCUCCUCCUCCCACCGCAGGUAACACCCUUCACUCUGGCAAAUCCUCUUGAGCAAGCUGUGUCUGGAAUCAAGCCAGAAGGAUAUAUUGUUACUGCUUUAGAGUGACAGGAAUGCAGGAGCACAAAAUUUAAAAAUACAGGAAGGAAUGUUUGAUAUGAAAACUACAUCAGAGCUAUACAGACCAGGUUUUCUCCAGCAAAACUGGUGGAGUUGUGUUGAGCACAGACAGCAGUGACAGAAACAAUCUGUCUAUGGAAAUGAUCCAUGAGUGAACACUGGAUCUGAAGUGAAAAACUGCUCUGCUACUAUCCCAGCUGACUGAAAAUCAACUGCAAAUGCAAGUGACUCCUGUCAAAUCAGAGAGAACUGUUUUAUGCCUAAUCUGAAAAAAUCUCUAAUCUCAAAAAAAAAUAAAAAA